Molecule: small nuclear RNA, 109 nt
Filed under: Glossina austeni
Lineage: Eukaryota; Metazoa; Arthropoda; Insecta; Diptera; Glossinidae
Source: RNAcentral
GCGCCCUUUCUACAGCAGCACAUAUAUUAAAAUUGUAACCAUGCAGAGAAGAGUAGCAAGGUCUUUGCGCACGGACAACAUGUAAAAUCAUGAAACGUUCUGCACCUUU